This 546-nucleotide ribosomal RNA is filed under the name Salmonella enterica subsp. enterica serovar Oranienburg. RNAcentral describes it as "partial 23S ribosomal RNA". It matches the Rfam family "Bacterial large subunit ribosomal RNA", at positions 67 to 652 of the family's 2925-position model. RNAcentral also lists the same sequence under 1 other name. The record is from RNAcentral. Lineage: Bacteria; Pseudomonadati; Pseudomonadota; Gammaproteobacteria; Enterobacterales; Enterobacteriaceae.
UGCGAUAAGCGCCGGUAAGGUGAUAUGAACCGUUAUAACCGGCGAUACCCGAAUGGGGAAACCCAGUGUGACUCGUCACACUAUCAUUAACUGAAUCCAUAGGUUAAUGAGGCGAACCGGGGGAACUGAAACAUCUAAGUACCCCGAGGAAAAGAAAUCAACCGAGAUUCCCUCAGUAGCGGCGAGCGAACGGGGAGGAGCCCAGAGCCUGAAUCAGCAUGUGUGUUAGUGGAAGCGUCUGGAAAGGCGCGCGAUACAGGGUGACAGCCCCGUACACAAAAGCGCAUAUGCUGUGAGCUCGAUGAGUAGGGCGGGACACGUGGUAUCCUGUCUGAAUAUGGGGGGACCAUCCUCCAAGGCUAAAUACUCCUGACUGACCGAUAGUGAACCAGUACCGUGAGGGAAAGGCGAAAAGAACCCCGGUGAGGGGAGUGAAAAAGAACCUGAAACCGUGUACGUACAAGCAGUGGGAGCACCCUUUGGGGUGUGACUGCGUACCUUUUGUAUAAUGGGUCAGCGACUUAUAUUCUGUAGCAAGGUUAACCG